Molecule: ribosomal RNA, 28 nt
Filed under: Nymphon australe
Lineage: Eukaryota; Metazoa; Arthropoda; Pycnogonida; Pantopoda; Nymphonidae
Also listed under: 5 other names
Description: partial 28S ribosomal RNA
Source: RNAcentral
GUCGACCUCAGUUCGGGCGAGAUCACCC